Ictalurus punctatus (channel catfish) is the source of this 626-nucleotide non-coding RNA. The record is from the annotation of a RefSeq genome assembly. NCBI's taxonomy places the organism in Eukaryota, Metazoa, Chordata, Actinopteri, Siluriformes, Ictaluridae.
UUUAGUUUUGCUGUUUCACCCUCUCCCAUGUGGGGGCGUUUUUCAGCUAAAGCCACUGACAAAACUCUGUAAAAGAUCAUCAGAAGAUACAAGUGCUGCCUUUGAUUCACAUGAAGAGCCAAGAUGAGCAUUGUUCUGCUUACUGUAACUGCAUUAUUCAUCAGCGAUAUCGGAAGGUCUUCUGCAGCUAAAGAUGUUCACCAGACUCCUCCUGAUUUAAUCAAGAAUAUACAGGAAUCUACGGAUCUUUCCUGUUCUCACUCCAUACCAAACCAUGAGUUCAUGCUGUGGUACAAACGAUCUGAAAACAAACAAUUACAGCUUCUUGGAUAUCUAAAUUCAAAGUUCCCAUAUCCUGAAGAUUCCCUGAAAGCCAAAAUCGAGUUGCAUGGAGAUGGAAACAAUGAAGGGAAACUUACCAUCAAAAAUCUGCAGCCAGAUGACAGUGCAGUUUAUUUCUGUGCAGUGAGAUUAGACACAGUGCUACAGGACUCUGUGAUCUAUGACAAAAACCUCCUCCUUCAGAGCAGCACAAAUCUUCCACAUGCUGUAUGCUUUCAAACUACAUGUUUACUGAAGAUAUGAUCAUAUCAGCCUUUUGUACAGGUUCUGUAAUUUGUUUCCUG